This 232-nucleotide unclassified non-coding RNA is filed under the name plant metagenome. Its description in RNAcentral is "partial contains small subunit ribosomal RNA, internal transcribed spacer 1, and 5.8S ribosomal RNA". The stretch from base 1 to 53 matches the Rfam family "Eukaryotic small subunit ribosomal RNA", at positions 1779 to 1831 of the family's 1831-position model. The record is from RNAcentral.
GGAGUAAAAGUCGUAACAAGGUUUCCGUAGGUGAACCUGCGGAAGGAUCAUUCAUAAUAAAGUGUUUUAUGGCACUUUUUAAAAAUCCAUAUCCACCUUGUGUGCAAUGUUAGAUCUCGUCAAUCUUGGCGAGAUUUUUAUACAUCAACUCAUUCUUUAACUAAUUUGUUUGAAAAAUAUUAUGAACACUUAAUUCAAAAUACAACUUUCAACAACGGAUCUCUUGGCUCUC